Molecule: ribosomal RNA, 253 nt
Filed under: uncultured bacterium
Lineage: Bacteria
Description: partial 16S ribosomal RNA
Rfam family: Bacterial small subunit ribosomal RNA
Source: RNAcentral
UACGAAGGGGGCUAGCGUUGCUCGGAAUCACUGGGCGUAAAGGGUGCGUAGGCGGGUCUUUAAGUCAGGGGUGAAAUCCUGGAGCUCAACUCCAGAACUGCCUUUGAUACUGAAGAUCUUGAGUUCGGGAGAGGUGAGUGGAACUGCGAGUGUAGAGGUGAAAUUCGUAGAUAUUCGCAAGAACACCAGUGGCGAAGGCGGCUCACUGGCCCGGUACUGACGCUGAGGUGCGAAAGCGUGGGGAGCAAACGGG